RNAcentral lists this unclassified non-coding RNA (239 nucleotides) under Cladorrhinum foecundissimum. RNAcentral's name for it is "partial internal transcribed spacer region". The stretch from base 1 to 46 matches the Rfam family "Eukaryotic small subunit ribosomal RNA", at positions 1786 to 1831 of the family's 1831-position model. Lineage: Eukaryota; Fungi; Ascomycota; Sordariomycetes; Sordariales; Podosporaceae. The record is from RNAcentral.
AAGUCGUAACAAGGUCUCCGUUGGUGAACCAGCGGAGGGAUCAUUACAGAGUUGCAAAACUCCCCUAAACCAUCGCGAACCCAACCCCUAAACAGUUGCUUCGGCGGCGCCCCGAAGGCCCUCAGCGGCCGGAGUGGCCCGCCGGGGACCCCCCAAACUCUUGUUUUUGACAAAAUGGCCUCUCUGAGUUACUGUACUUUAAUAAGUCAAAACUUUCAACAACGGAUCUCUUGGUUCUG